AUGACCAUUUCAGAGAGGACAAAUCUGUAGGAUUUGUUAGCCAGCUCUCCUCUUUGCCAUGAGCUAGUGAAUACAUGGUGUCAUUGAACUUGGAAUACUAGCUGGCUAUCAAAUGUGCUCCAGGAAUCUACCUGUCUCUAAUCUCCACCAGAGCCAGGAUGAGAGACAUGUGGAAGGCCCCUCUCCUACUGGAUGGCACCAUUACCCAUCAUUAUGAGUUAUCGUUCCCUAAUUAAGAUCACCAGAAAUGCCUUCACCGGCAGAUCCAGAGGUAUGCUUCAGUGAUCCAGUGCAUUCAUGCUUUGGUAAACAUAGAAUUCCGUUGCUCCCGCUAUCAACAUCGGACAUUGCUCUACUGUAAUCAAGGCAAAGGUGCAUGGUCCAAAUCAAG
Peromyscus eremicus (cactus mouse) is the source of this 391-nucleotide long non-coding RNA. RefSeq lists it as uncharacterized. The transcript is spliced from 3 exons. Lineage: Eukaryota; Metazoa; Chordata; Mammalia; Rodentia; Cricetidae. The record is from RefSeq and is a predicted model, not a curated record.